GGAACUUGUACACGUUGCGGUGCAACGCUUGUUAAAGA
Molecule: regulatory RNA element, 38 nt
Organism: Clostridium sulfidigenes
Lineage: Bacteria; Bacillati; Bacillota; Clostridia; Eubacteriales; Clostridiaceae
Rfam family: Selenocysteine insertion sequence 4
Source: Rfam